UCCCUGGUGGUCCAGUGGUUAAGAUUUUGAACUUCCAAUAAAGGGGACACAGGUUCAAUCCCUGGUCAGGGAA
This 73-nucleotide transfer RNA is filed under the name Bos taurus (domestic cattle). It matches the Rfam family "tRNA". Rfam says of the family: Transfer RNA (tRNA) molecules are approximately 80 nucleotides in length. Their secondary structure includes four short double-helical elements and three loops (D, anti-codon, and T loops). Lineage: Eukaryota; Metazoa; Chordata; Mammalia; Artiodactyla; Bovidae. The record is from Rfam by way of RNAcentral. RNAcentral also lists the same sequence under 3 other names.